UUAAUGGGUGAACUGCUCGAAGUGGACAUUUCACAGCUCAUUGAAACAUUUCCGAAUCAACACGAAUACCUGAGGUCCGUGGCCGAGGGACACUGCGAUGAACCAGUUCGGCCACGCAAGGAAUCCUCUUCCAUCGCUGUCUCCAAGAACUUCCCCGGAAAAUUAUCGAUUCGAUCGGUGUUGGAGCUGAAAAAAUGGCUCGACGGGCUCACGAAAGAGCUCGCAAAGCGUUUGGCAACGGAUCAAGCGGAAAAUAAGCGAACUGCCGAGAAUCUGGUGUACUCACUGCUCACAGAGGACGGGAAACCACAAAAAACGCUGAAAAUCACCAGUUAUCACCCGGAUACACUUUUUGAGCAGAUUUGGGCAGCUAUGAAGGGAUUAAAUAAGACAAAUGCCACUAAAAAUGAGGG
Molecule: small RNA, 413 nt
Filed under: Caenorhabditis elegans
Lineage: Eukaryota; Metazoa; Nematoda; Chromadorea; Rhabditida; Rhabditidae
Description: Unclassified non-coding RNA F53A3.10
Source: RNAcentral